UUCAAAAAUUGGUGUGGCUUAUUUUGGCCC
RNAcentral lists this non-coding RNA (30 nucleotides) under Mus musculus (house mouse). Lineage: Eukaryota; Metazoa; Chordata; Mammalia; Rodentia; Muridae. The record is from RNAcentral.